RNAcentral lists this ribosomal RNA (253 nucleotides) under uncultured bacterium. RNAcentral's name for it is "partial 16S ribosomal RNA". It matches the Rfam family "Bacterial small subunit ribosomal RNA", at positions 524 to 776 of the family's 1533-position model. The record is from RNAcentral.
AACGUAGGAGACAAACGUUAUCCGGAGUUACUGGGCGUAAAGGGCGUGUAGGUGGUUUCGUAAGUCUGGCGUGAAAUUUUUCGGCUUAACCGGGAAAGGUCGUCGGAUACUGCAGAACUAGAGGACGGUAGAGGCGUGUGGAAUUCCGGGUGUAGUGGUGAAAUGCGUAGAGAUCAGGAGGAACACCCGUGGCGAAGGCGGCGCCCUGGUCCGUUACUGACGCUGAGACGCGAAAGCGCGGGGAGCGAACGGG